UCAACUUAUUUUGUGUUUAUUGGAAGCUACCAGAAAACUGUCAACUGUUAACAAAAUAAGGGACCGUAACGAUUUCUCCUAUGUGAAGCUUACAAUCAAGUUAAGGUCAACAGACUUUCCCCACUUCAGAGGAAGUUGAUGCCUCACUCCUACUCUCCCUUCACCCUCAGUGUUAGCAAGUACACAGACAUUUCACAGACUAGAUUCCUGACAGCCCUUGGUCUCAGAUGCCGGCUGCACAGCUGCUGGAAAGUGAACUGAGUUUCAGGCAGCCUCUGCAUAAAUUCUGAGGUUAACCUUGUAGUCCUGGUGCGGUGAAGGCCAGAAGAAGGCAGUGAAUUCCCUGGAAUACAGGCAGUUGUGAUCCACUCAGUGGGGGUGCUCAGAACAUUACCUGCAUCCUUUACAAGAGCAGCAAGUGCUCUUGACUGAUGAACCAUCUCUCUCAUCCCAAACUGAGAUGUUUUUUCCCCCCAAAGAAUAAAUUAUUUCAAACAUAAUUCAAGUCCCUUUGAAGGACUUGCCUCACAGCAUUUAUACCUCAUCAUGCCUAUGAGAAAAUUGCUGCUUUGUAUAUGAGGUCUCUCUGGAGGGCAGCAUCUUGCUAUCACAAGACUGGCUUUUUAAAAGAGAAGAUUGAAAGCUAAGGAUGAUGGAUCUUCACUCACCAAAGUCAGUGUUCAACAGCAUUACAGUUUCUACAUGUCCCCCAAA
This is a long non-coding RNA of Nannospalax galili (Upper Galilee mountains blind mole rat), 714 nucleotides long. RefSeq lists it as uncharacterized. The transcript has 3 exons. Lineage: Eukaryota; Metazoa; Chordata; Mammalia; Rodentia; Spalacidae. The record is from RefSeq and is a predicted model, not a curated record.